UGAAGGUCAGGCUGAAGACCUUACCCGAUUAGCUGAGGGGUGGUGCAUGGCCGUCGUCAGUUCGUACUGUGAAGCAUCCUGUUAAGUCAGGCAACGAGCGAGACCCACGUCCACAGUUGCCAGCAUACCCUCCGGGGUGAUGGGUACACUGUGGAGACCGCCGCUGCUAAAGCGGAGGAAGGAGUGGGCAACGGUAGGUCAGUAUGCCCCGAAUCUCCCGGGCUACACGCGGGCUACAAUGGUUGGUACAAUGGGCAUCUACCCCGAAAGGGGAAGGAAAUCUCUUAAAGCCAAUCGUAGUUCGGAUUGAGGGCUGCAACUCGCCCUCAUGAAGCUGGAAUCCGUAGUAAUCGCGUUUCCACAGAACGCGGUGAAUACGUCCCUGCUCCUU
Molecule: ribosomal RNA, 391 nt
Filed under: uncultured Methanosaeta sp.
Lineage: Archaea; Methanobacteriati; Methanobacteriota; Methanomicrobia; Methanotrichales; Methanotrichaceae
Description: bacterial SSU rRNA
Rfam family: Archaeal small subunit ribosomal RNA
Source: RNAcentral